AUACGGAGGGUGCAAGCGUUAUUCGGAAUCACUGGGCGUAAAGCGCGCGCAGGCGGGCUGAUAAGUUGGAUGUGAAAGCCUACGGCUCAACCGUAGAACUGCAUCCAAAACUGUCAGUCUAGAGUCUGGGAGGGGAAGAUGGAAUUAGUUGUGUAGGGGUAAAAUCCGUAGAGAUAACUAGGAAUACCAAAAGCGAAGGCGAUCUUCUGGAACAGUACUGACGCUGAGGCGCGAAAGCGUGGGGAGCAAACAGGAUUAGAUACCCUUGUAGUCC
RNAcentral lists this ribosomal RNA (274 nucleotides) under uncultured bacterium. Its description in RNAcentral is "partial 16S ribosomal RNA". It matches the Rfam family "Bacterial small subunit ribosomal RNA", at positions 523 to 796 of the family's 1533-position model. The record is from RNAcentral.